Molecule: long non-coding RNA, 680 nt
Organism: Gadus morhua (Atlantic cod)
Lineage: Eukaryota; Metazoa; Chordata; Actinopteri; Gadiformes; Gadidae
Source: Ensembl
CUAUCAGGCAUAAAUAUACGGGGCCCAUUGAUACGGGAGAGUACGGCCUCCGACCCUGACGUUAGACACUCUAUUCUAAGAUAGUAAACGCGUCGUAGCAGUUGGAAGAAAAAAACAUCGAUCUGCACUACUAUGCCGACUGACUCGAUUCGCGGCGCCGGAGGCGAGAGCGUGAAACAGCAGCUGGGUCCACGUGGAAGUUUGCCUGAUAUUCGGCUCAACAUUCAAAGACCGAUUCUAGCAGACCAGACUAAUGUGGUGACAAGCGGUAGUUUUGUACCUAUCGAGGCCAAUGUCAAUCAGCGAACCCCCGGACCAAGUCGACUGUCCAAGAAGAAUUUGAAAAGAUCGGCGGGGGUAGUGGUGGCUAUACCCUGCUCACCACUGGCCAUAGAACAGCUACAAAUUCCUUAUAAAAAGGCUCGCAAGGACGCCACACAUAGUGGUUUAGCUCCGGAGAAUUUUAACCAGGUUAUCCAGGCAGUCAUCAACCCGCAAAUCGCGCAACAUGGAGCGGCAUGGUCUGAUUCCAAACACCGCGUGAUCGGGGACGUGGAGGUGCAUGUGUCUGCGUCGCCUACAGAGACCGUCACAGUGCAACCGGAUGGGACUAUACAACACGCCCAUGGAGAUCCCCAGUGUGCGCCACCACCAGGGCUGACCGCCGACGAUUGGGCUGG